CAAUGGACGAGAGUCUGAACCAGCCAAGUAGCGUGCAGGAUGACGGCCCUAUGGGUUGUAAACUGCUUUUAUAAGGGAAUAAAGUGAGCCUCGUGAGGCUUUUUGCAUGUACCUUAUGAAUAAGGACCGGCUAAUUCCGUGCCAGCAGCCGCGGUAAUACGGAAGGUCCGGGCGUUAUCCGGAUUUAUUGGGUUUAAAGGGAGCGUAGGCCGGAGAUUAAGCGUGUUGUGAAAUGUAGAUGCUCAACAUCUGCACUGCAGCGCGAACUGGUUUCCUUGAGUACGCACAAAGUGGGCGGAAUUCGUGGUGUAGCGGUGAAAUGCUUAGAUAUCACGAAGAACUCCGAUUGCGAAGGCAGCUCACUGGAGCGCAACUGACGCUGAAGCUCGAAAGUGCGGGUAUCGAACAGGAUUAGAUACCCUGGUAGUCCGCACGGUAAACGAUGGAUGCCCGCUGUUGGUCUGAAUAGGUCAGCGGCCAAGCGAAAGCAUUAAGCAUCCCACCUGGGGAGUACGCCGGCAACGGUGCAACUCAAAGGAAUUGACGGAA
This 549-nucleotide ribosomal RNA is filed under the name uncultured organism. RNAcentral describes it as "bacterial SSU rRNA". It matches the Rfam family "Bacterial small subunit ribosomal RNA", at positions 369 to 918 of the family's 1533-position model. The record is from RNAcentral.